AGUGAACGCUGGCGGCAGGCCUAACACAUGCAAGUCGAGCGGCAGCGCGGGGGCAACCCUGGCGGCGAGCGGCGGACGGGUGAGGAAUUCGUCGGAAUCUGCCUUUUUGUGGGGGAUAACGUAGGGAAACUUACGCUAAUACCGCAUACGUCCUACGGGAGAAAGUGGGGGACCGCAAGGCCUCACGCAGAAAGAUGAGCCGACGACCGAUUAGCUAGUUGGUGGGGUAAAGGCCCACCAAGGCGACGAUCGGUAGCUGGUCUGAGAGGAUGAUCAGCCAAAGGGGGACGGAGAAGGGCCCCGGCCCCCUGGGGGGGGAGGGAGUGGGGAAAUUUGGAAAAGGGGCGGAACCUUGCCCCAGCCAUGCCGCGUGGGUAAAAAAGGCCUUGGGUUUGUAAGGCACUUUUGUCGGGAAAAAAACCCCGGGACCAAAUACCUUCGGGGAAUGAGGGUACCGAAAAAAAAAGCCCCGGCUAACUUGGUG
This 484-nucleotide ribosomal RNA is filed under the name uncultured bacterium. RNAcentral describes it as "partial 16S ribosomal RNA". It matches the Rfam family "Bacterial small subunit ribosomal RNA", at positions 30 to 507 of the family's 1533-position model. The record is from RNAcentral.